This 450-nucleotide ribosomal RNA is filed under the name Triticum aestivum (bread wheat). RNAcentral's name for it is "partial small subunit ribosomal RNA". The record is from RNAcentral. Lineage: Eukaryota; Viridiplantae; Streptophyta; Magnoliopsida; Poales; Poaceae.
AUGAACUCUGGUCUGGCCAAGGGCGCGUUCUGGGGUGGAAAGGAUAGGCCUUUUGCCCCUUUGCCAGUCGGCGGCACGGUGGUUCGUGCCGAUGAUGGCGGAUGGUUGCAGAUGCCCGGGCGGCGGCCCGGGUGGUGGGAUCUGCGGUGCUUGUGGGCAAAACCCAUGGAUCAGAUGGUGGCCGACGAUCAUGAUGCUUGUGGGCGAAGCCCGUGGGUCGGAUGGUGGCCGACGAUCAUGGUCGUGAGUGAUGCAUGGUGGCUGGCGAUCGGCGGUCCGAGGUGGUGGUACAACAGUGCCUGUACCGUGUUUCGGGCAUGGAUCAUGCGCGCUAGGGUGAAAACCUUGUAUGCCUUUGGGCAGGCCAUCGGUGACGGCGCCCGUGGGCAUCACCCCCUUGUUGAAGGCACCGUCACGGCUACUCCAUCCUCUCCGGAACACUCUGGGUGA